UACGUAGGGGGCAAGCGUUGUCCGGAUUUAUUGGGCGUAAAGAGCGUGUAGGCGGCUUUGCAAGUCCGUUGUGAAAACUCGAGGCUCAACCUCGAGACGCCGGUGGAAACUGCAAAGCUAGAGUCCGGAAGAGGAGAGUGGAAUUCCUGGUGUAGCGGUGAAAUGCGCAGAUAUCAGGAAGAACACCCGUGGCGAAGGCGGCUCUCUGGGACGGUACUGACGCUGAGACGCGAAAGCGUGGGUAGCAAACAGG
Molecule: ribosomal RNA, 253 nt
Filed under: uncultured bacterium
Lineage: Bacteria
Description: partial 16S ribosomal RNA
Rfam family: Bacterial small subunit ribosomal RNA
Source: RNAcentral